CGAACGCUGGCGGCGUGCUUAACACAUGCAAGUCGAACGGAAAGGCCCUGCUUUUGUGGGGUGCUCGAGUGGCGAACGGGUGAGUAGCACGUGAGUAACCUGCCCUUGACUUUGGGAUAACUUCAGGAAACUGGGGCUAAUACCGGAUAGGAGCUCCUGCUGCAUGGUGGGGGUUGGAAAGUUUCGGCGGUUGGGGAUGGACUCGCGGCUUAUCAGCUUGUUGGUGGGGUAGUGGCUUACCAAGGCUUUGACGGGUAGCCGGCCUGAGAGGGUGACCGGCCACAUUGGGACUGAGAUACGGCCCAGACUCCUACGGGAGGCAGCAGUGGGGAAUAUUGCACAAUGGGCGGAAGCCUGAUGCAGCAACGCCGCGUGCGGGAUGACGGCCUUCGGGUUGUAAACCGCUUUCGCCUGUGACGAAGCGUGAGUGACGGUAAUGGGUAAAGAAGCACCGGCUAACUACGUG
This 466-nucleotide ribosomal RNA is filed under the name uncultured bacterium. Its description in RNAcentral is "partial 16S ribosomal RNA". It matches the Rfam family "Bacterial small subunit ribosomal RNA", at positions 30 to 507 of the family's 1533-position model. The record is from RNAcentral.